AACGAACGCUGGCGGCAUGCCUAACACAUGCAAGUCGAACGAGACCUUCGGGUCUAGUGGCGCACGGGUGCGUAACGCGUGGAAACCUGCCCUUAGGUUCGGAAUAACUCCCCGAAAGGGGUGCUAAUACCGGAUAAUGUCUUCGGACCAAAGAUUUAUCGCCUUUGGAUGGGCCCGCGUUGGAUUAGCUAGUUGGUAGGGUAAAAGCCUACCAAGGCGACGAUCCAUAGCUGGUCUGAGAGGAUGAUCAGCGACACUGGGACUGAGACACGGCCCAGACUCCUACGGGAGGCAGCAGUGGGGAAUAUUGGACAAUGGGGGAAAGCCUGAUCCAGCAAUGACGCGUGAGUGAUGAAGGCCUUAGGGUUGUAAAGCUCUUUUACCCGGGAUGAUAAUGACAGUACCGGGAGAAUAAGCUCCGGCUAACUCCGUG
This 433-nucleotide ribosomal RNA is filed under the name uncultured bacterium. RNAcentral describes it as "partial 16S ribosomal RNA". It matches the Rfam family "Bacterial small subunit ribosomal RNA", at positions 29 to 507 of the family's 1533-position model. The record is from RNAcentral.